GGGGAUUUAGCUCAGUGGGAGAGCGCUUGCCUAGCAAGCACAAAGCCCUGGGUUCGGUUCCCAGCUCCA
RNAcentral lists this transfer RNA (69 nucleotides) under Rattus norvegicus (Norway rat). It matches the Rfam family "tRNA". Rfam says of the family: Transfer RNA (tRNA) molecules are approximately 80 nucleotides in length. Their secondary structure includes four short double-helical elements and three loops (D, anti-codon, and T loops). The record is from Rfam by way of RNAcentral. Lineage: Eukaryota; Metazoa; Chordata; Mammalia; Rodentia; Muridae.